AAACAAAAUGCAAAUAAAUAAAAUGCAAUACAAUUGUUAACUGCAAUGAGGUGAAUGACUUCAAAUGAUUAACCUUUUAUAUUAGGCAAAUAAAAAGAAAUAGAAAUAGUAAGAAAUACAUAAGAACAUAUCAAGCCAUUACCGCCAAAAUAAUGUAUCCCACACCAUAAUCGAUUUUUGGUUUGUUAUCGAAAUCGAUAGUUCAACAUCAUUUGCAUCAUCUGUCAAAAUUUCAUGGCUGUAGAUUAAACCGUUAUGAUUUUAUAACAAAAACAAUUUUAAUGUAAGUGCAUAUGGUGACUUGUUUACAUUUUCUUUGAACACAUGUGUGGGAUACAAUCAAAUUCUCUUUUAAAAUAAAUGAAACACAAGAGGAAAAAACACAAUUUUUUGAGACUGUAAUUAAAGAUAAAGCUUUAGAACAAUAUGUCGAAGCUCUCCCUGGUACCGUAUAGCGAUUCAGAUGAAUCUUUCGUUGAUUUAAAUGGUUUGGAAAGUUUAAAAGAAGUCGAGGAGGAAACGUGUGUUGGGAAAAGGGGCUACCGAAAGCAAAAGAGAAUACCUAAAAGGUUGCAAAAAGUUAAGAAAAAAAUACGAGUGUUUUACCCAACCCGUCCUUAAAAAAAAUGUCCAAAUUCGUGUCAUGAUAAAAUUUCUGAAGAUGAAAGAGUAAGAAUAAAUGAACAUUUUUGGGGAAGCGGCAACAAAAUUAGACAGAAAGAUUGGCUGUCUUCUUGUGUUAAACAAGUCGAUAUUAAAAGGCGAUAUGGAGAAAGUGACAGAAAAAAGUGCAGCUUAAAAGUUUUAAAGUUUGUCAAAAAUUUUUAUUGAAAACGUUGGAAGCAAGCAUAUCGCUAGUAAAAUCCUUUAUAGAAGAACUACCAGCGGUUCCUUCACAUUAUUGCAGGAAUAAAAGUACAAAAUUAUAUCUUCCUAAGAAUUUCGAAACAUAAAAACUGUAUAUCAGCAUUAUGUAGAACAUUUGAAAACUAUUAAUAAAGUAAAUAGUCAGUUAUCGUUAA
Long non-coding RNA from Bactrocera dorsalis (oriental fruit fly), 1022 nucleotides. RefSeq lists it as uncharacterized. The record is from RefSeq and is a predicted model, not a curated record. Lineage: Eukaryota; Metazoa; Arthropoda; Insecta; Diptera; Tephritidae. The transcript has 2 exons.